Larimichthys crocea (large yellow croaker) is the source of this 3020-nucleotide RNA transcript. It is a transcript of the gene named sodium channel, voltage-gated, type II, beta, with no coding region annotated. The record is from RefSeq and is a predicted model, not a curated record. NCBI's taxonomy places the organism in Eukaryota, Metazoa, Chordata, Actinopteri, Sciaenidae. The transcript has 6 exons.
ACCGUCAACCAUGAGAUCAACCGUCAUAAGGCUACAGCCACUGCCAGCCAUGUCCUGCCUCUAAAACAAAAAAUACUGUUUUUUACCAUUUUAACGUACAGGCCGAGAGCACACUUGCUGCUCUUUUAUUGUUUUUUUAUACUACUUCAAUUUUUCUAACAGAUAAAAGCGUCGUUAUUUAUUUAUUUUUGUUUUUUUAAUAAGAAGCGGUGAACAUGUCUUCCCCCGCGCAGGAGAAGAGGAGCCCUGGCGUUCAGCUGCUGCUGAGCGCGGCGCUGCCGCUGCUGCUCCUCUCGCUCUCCGGUUGUUCAAGCAUGGAUGUGCUCGUGACCAGUUCCAUUAAUGCACUGAAUGGAACAACUGUCAAAAUCUCCUGCUUAUUUACUUCCUGCUAUAAGAUGGACCCUACGAAGUUUGCCAUGAACUGGACUUACCAAGAAUCACUUAACGAUACAGAAGAGAUGUUUAUGACAUACUCCAAGAAAAAAGGAAUGGUGCCUCUGCGUUCAGACCGGUUUGGAGAGAGGGUCAUGUUUGCCGGGAACCUGGAUAAGAAUGACUUGUCAAUCACCCUAUCAGAUGUACAGUUGGAGGAUGAGGGGGUUUACAACUGCUAUGUGAGAAACCCCCCAGACCGCAUUCAGGGACAUGGUUUCAUACAGCUCAAUGUUGUUACUGAACUUCCACCUCCCAGGGAUUCAACCAUUGCAGUUGCGAUUGGGGCAUCAGUGGGCGGAGCAUUAGCUCUGCUGAUCCUUUCCAUGGUAGUAGUGAAAUGUCUUCGUCGACACCGGAAACAGGAACUGAUUUCAGAGGAGAAGAUGGAGGAGGAGGGAAAGCUGGAGGCUGAAGGUGUUGCAGAGGAAGGAACCAAACAACCAUAGCUGGGUCAUCUGAUUGAAACCACCGGCCUGUGAAGCCCUGACCCUCAACACCUCCUCUGAAAUGUGCAUCCCCUACCUGAAGACCUAUAGUUACCACUGCUUGAAUCAUCAUCCAAUGAUACUUCCAUCCCUUCGAUGUAUGUGUGUGUGUGUGUGUGUGUGUGUGUGUGUGUGUGUGCGUGUGCGUGUGUGUGCGUGCCAGUGCUUUGUGUGGGUGUACUGAAUGUGUCUUUGUGUGCGUGCAUAUUUCUAUUUGUCUGCGUGAGAUAUGUCUUUUUCCUUGAAAUAAGCCAGGCAACACUUUUCUGCAGCCAACCCACUAAACACAUUACAUUAUUCAUAGUUACAAGUUAAUAUCAGUGGCAUUAGAAGUCCAUCUCAUAAUAAGGAAUGGCAUUUUCAUAGAAAAUAAUACGAUAGGCUAGGGCUGGGCGGUAUGACCUAAAAUUUAUACCACAGUAUAGUUUGAAUAUGGAACAGUAACAAUUUCACGGCAUCAUAAUGUGAAAUUUUACAACCCUGAAGUUAAUCUAUUAAAUAAUUAUUAAUGACGUUAACAGUAGUUGUGGAGUUAGAACUUCAUACUGAGUUAAAAGCUGAUUACACUGCAGAGAAGAAGGUUGCUUGUAUAUUGACUGCGUGAUGGUUGUUUGCUCCACUGUCUCACAACUUGCGCAGUCCAACUUUGGGAUUUAGUUUCAGGUGAAUCUUUCGGUUUAACAUACUGUGAAUCCAGCUUUUUUCAACAUUGCCUUAAAGCCAUGUCUCUCAGCUGCCUGUAGGGGCAGCAUGUCUUAACAUAGAUGCACAGUUAGUGCAUGUGUGGUGUUCUUCCACUGCUGGCUUUUCUUAGAAGAAAGACAACUGCUAGUCAGUGAUUCUGCCAAAUUAACACUGUACGUCUCAAAGGUCUUCUUGUGUCGCAGCGUUUCCAAACAUUCCUCAUAACCGUGUUUUCUUAAAGACUUUUUUCUUGGCUUGUCAUAGUAGGAAAAGCACCGGUGUUUCUAAUCACAUUAACGAUGGAUCUGUUCUAUCAAAGUUUCCCAGUAAGUCAUUACAGUAGCUAUGUCUAAAAAUUACUCCUCAUCUAUGUAGUGCAGUAUAUUGCAGUGUAACAUUUAUUGUAUAUUGCCCACAAAAGUUGUGUCGAUACACUACUUUUGAAUACACAAAAUGAUGGUGAUCAAUAAGAACAAUGAACUAUUGAAUGUCUAUUAUAUCAGGAUUUAUGAAUGAAUGAAUGAGGAAGUGAUUUUAGACAGAGCCAGGAACAGUGAGCCAGCAUGCACAAUAAACCCUAAAGCUGAAGCAUCUAAAUGGAAUUCAGCCAUCAUUUAUCUUAUUAUUCACACCUGUGCUUUUCCUACUGUGACAUAUCAUUUGCGCAAAAGGCAUAUGGGGCAACAUAUUUCCAAAAAUAUCCUUAUGUUUGGUCCUAUGUCUGUCUUCUGCCUGAUGUUUUUGUUAGCAGGCAAAUGUGCCUAAAUGAACAACUGCAUUUGUUAAUAGGCUUUACAGUUCAAAUUAAUUCCGUACUAAUCUUCCGCCAAAUCUUUAUAAAUCUUACUGAUUAUUUACUGGUUAUACCGUCCACCCCUAUGACAGAAACUUCUGCACCCUGGCCAUGAGGAAUGAUAUAUUAGUGUGCCUCAAUACAGAGGUUCUAGUAGCAGGUACAGAUCUCUGUUCAGUUACAGUAUUUAUGAGGUUAAAGUAAGUCUUAAUUUAAUAUUAGACCCUACAAUACUUACACUGCAUAAUACAAUUAUGAGUACAUGCUGCAUAGGAAAAUCUGUCAGUGACAGCGUUGAGGUUUCCUCUCAGGAUUCUGCUCUACAAUAUAAAUAAAGCUAGCACUGGAUGAGGAGUAUGCGGUAUAGACGAUUUUGUCAAAGUUGAAAACAUAUCAAAGACAAUUUAAAGUGAAAAACUCACACUGCACCCACAAUCACAUAAUCAAUGUUGGUGCCAAUGGUUCUUUAUAUUUGUGGUAUAAUGGUUGCCCAAACAAAAGACUACAUGCAGAUGCUGUUUUAUAGUAACUCUUACCAUGACCCAACAUCACACACACAGAAAGUUGCGUCUCAUUUACAGACAGUGAUACAGGAAGUAAUACCAAAUGAAAAAAAAAAA